Molecule: ribosomal RNA, 468 nt
Filed under: uncultured bacterium
Lineage: Bacteria
Description: partial 16S ribosomal RNA
Rfam family: Bacterial small subunit ribosomal RNA
Source: RNAcentral
GACGAACGCUGGCGGCGUGCUUAACACAUGCGAGUCGAACGGAAAGGCCCUGCUUUUGUGGGGUGCUCGAGUGGCGAACGGGUGAGUAACACGUGAGUAACCUGCCCUUGACUUUGGGAUAACUUCAGGAAACUGGGGCUAAUACCGGAUAGGAGCUCCUGCUGCAUGGUGGGGGUUGGAAAGUUUCGGCGGUUGGGGAUGGACUCGCGACUUAUCAGCUUGUUGGUGGGGUAGUGGCUUACCAAGGCUUUGACGGGUAGCCGGCCUGAGAGGGUGACCGGCCACAUUGGGACUGAGAUACGGCCCAGACUCCUACGGGAGGCAGCAGUGGGGAAUAUUGCACAAUGGGCGGAAGCCUGAUGCAGCAACGCCGCGUGCGGGAUGACGGCCUUCGGGUUGUAAACCGCUUUCGCCUGUGACGAAGCGUGAGUGACGGUAAUGGGUAAAGAAGCACCGGCUAACUACGUG